UAAAAGAUGAUGACCCUCCAUUAUGCUUCAUCUUCAAGUUAUCAGGAGCGUUGCUGAAGAACAUACUUCUUGAAGUUGUUUUUCAAGAAGGAGAUGCUGCCUACCUGACCUUGUCAUUGACUUGCUCAAGCUUCAGGGACAUAGUUGGGGAUGACAAGUUCAAGAAUCAGGCACACUUCUUAUGGUUAGAAAGUGUUACAUGCUGGAAAAAAGUCAUCUCACUACAAACAGCUCUUCUGGAAGAUGUACUCAAUCUCCACUUGUUUGGAGUGUGGGUUUGAGUACAAAUGCUGCACACCUGGUUAUGCUGGGAAGGGGAAGGGAGGUGAGCUCCAGGGCAUUUAUUCAAAAACCUUCCACCCUGGAUUUUGCAGAUUUGACUGCAUGCAGAUCAAUUCUAAUGAGCUGAUAUAGUUUCCUUACAAAAACAAAAAAGACUAAAAAUAAUAAAAUAAAAUAAACACUUUUGCAAUCAA
Molecule: non-coding RNA, 476 nt
Organism: Misgurnus anguillicaudatus (oriental weatherfish)
Lineage: Eukaryota; Metazoa; Chordata; Actinopteri; Cypriniformes; Cobitidae
Source: RefSeq, a predicted model, not a curated record